AGGCGAAGGAGCGAUCCGGAGCAAACCCCAGAAAUAACGUCCCAGUUCGGAUUGCAGGCUGCAACCCGCCUGCAUGAAGCUGGAAUCGCUAGUAAUCGCGGAUCAGAAUGCCGCGGUGAAUACGUUCCCGGGUCUUGUACACACCGCCCGUCACACCAUGGGAGUCGGUAACGCCCGAAGUCAGUGACCCAACCGAGAGGAGGGAGCUGCCGAAGGCGGGACUGGUAACUGGGGUGAAGUCGUAACAAGGUAUC
Molecule: ribosomal RNA, 254 nt
Filed under: uncultured bacterium
Lineage: Bacteria
Description: partial 16S ribosomal RNA
Rfam family: Bacterial small subunit ribosomal RNA
Source: RNAcentral